ACUCCUGUAGACCCAAUCGGCAGAGGUCGCGGGCUUAAACCCCGUGCAGUAUGAGUUCGAAUCUCAUCAGGAGUACCA
This 78-nucleotide transfer RNA is filed under the name Ruminococcaceae bacterium FB2012. RNAcentral describes it as "tRNA_Leu_TAA". It matches the Rfam family "tRNA". From Rfam's summary of the family: Transfer RNA (tRNA) molecules are approximately 80 nucleotides in length. Their secondary structure includes four short double-helical elements and three loops (D, anti-codon, and T loops). Further hydrogen bonds mediate the characteristic L-shaped molecular structure. tRNAs have two regions of fundamental functional importance: the anti-codon, which is responsible for specific mRNA codon recognition, and the 3' end, to which the tRNAs corresponding amino acid is attached (by aminoacyl-tRNA synthetases). tRNAs cope with the degeneracy of the genetic code in two manners: having more than one tRNA (with a specific anti-codon) for a particular amino acid; and 'wobble' base-pairing, i.e. permitting non-standard base-pairing at the 3rd anti-codon position. The record is from RNAcentral. Lineage: Bacteria; Bacillati; Bacillota; Clostridia; Eubacteriales; Oscillospiraceae.